GUUUCACAUGGAGACAUCAGCCGUCAAGAGUGAAAUUUUGACUCUGCAAAGCGACCUCCAAAUCAAUCGAGGGCAUCGGGAGAACACUUUUGGAACCUUAUCGUGGAGGAAAAAUAUCCAAACAUGAGAAAAGUUGGCAUGUACUUGACAGAAUGUUUUGGAUCUACCUACAUUUGCGAGUCAGCAUUUUCAGACAUGAUCAAAAUACCGGUCCACUCUAACAGAUGACGCUGGACACCUGUUUGAGGCAAGCAAUCAGUAGCUACAUCCCAGACCAUGCUGAGCUUGCUGACAGCAUGCAGUGCAAAUCAUCCAAUCAAUAAGCAAACAUACAGCUUGGAGAUCACCAGCUUCUUUAAUGGGAAUUCUGCCUUGUACCGUGCUGACUCCAAUCACAAGGAGAGGCUUGUGAAGAGCAUCCAUCACCAUGUAGAAUACAGGGGCUCUGAAGGAAAUGGAGUACAGAGAAGACGGCCGUUACAGAACCACCCAC
Molecule: long non-coding RNA, 493 nt
Filed under: Salmo salar (Atlantic salmon)
Lineage: Eukaryota; Metazoa; Chordata; Actinopteri; Salmoniformes; Salmonidae
Description: lncRNA (ENSSSAG00000084804.1)
Source: RNAcentral